CCACCAUGUCUUCGUAAGACCAUGCAAACACAUCCUAGAAUUGGGUUAGUAGCGCAACCAUGUCAUUCCAUUGGUUUGGGGUGAGGUCUGAACCAAUCUGGAUUAACUUAAGGCUUUCUAAGGUUCCAAGAUUGAAAGAAGUGGUUUGGUUAAGGUUGGAUUUAGGUUUGUCUGCGACCCAUUCCCUAAUCUCUUGAGGUG
RNAcentral lists this long non-coding RNA (201 nucleotides) under Panax ginseng (ginseng). Its description in RNAcentral is "long non-coding RNA (PGIN_LNC009032)". The record is from RNAcentral. Lineage: Eukaryota; Viridiplantae; Streptophyta; Magnoliopsida; Apiales; Araliaceae.